AUGGCCAGUUUUGUUGAAAUGAGGAAGCUGGCAGAAGCGAAGGUUCAAAAUAUGAUCCGAACGAUUGUUAAGCCAAAAGAACAAAAUGGUAAUGUGGAGCCGAAGAAAGAAGAAGAUGAAAAGUUCGAAUCAACAUACAAACAAAACGAAAAUACGCAAAUUACUCCUAGUUCUUUUGGUAAAAGGCCUCUUUAUUCGAAAGUAGAUAUCAAUUGUGAUAAGUGGUUGAUGACGCUAGAUGAAGAAUCACGUUUGAAAAUCGAUAAUCCCCCCUCGCUAGUUGAUGGUCUCUCCAAGGAAACAGAAUCGGAGCUUCGAUAUCUUGGCUGUGAACUUAUACAACAAGGAGCAAUCCUUUUAAAACUUCCACAAACAGCUGCUGCUACUGGUCAAAUUUUGUUCCAACGAUAUUAUUAUCAGAAAAGCUUUGUUAGGUAUCACUUUGAGCACGCAGUUCAAGCUUGUCUACUUCUUGCAUCCAAAAUCGAAGAAGAACCUCGUAGGCCUCGAGAAGUAUACAAUGUAUUUCAUCGGCUUGAGAGACUACACAGGUUACAACAAAGUGGACAUGACAUCAAUAAACGGCUCGAAGCCAAACAUGGAUCAUCUAUUCUUCGAUGCUUUGGCUGAAAGGAGACCACACGAGGAAUGAAGCCACCCGCCGUUGAUAUGAACUACAUCAAUACGAAACAACAUAUGAUCAACUCCGAAAGAAGAAUACUUGCAACUCUGGGAUUUGUUGUUCACGUGAAGCAUCCUCAUCGCCUCAUUGUUGCUUAUGGUCACACACUCGGAAUCACACAAUCUCGUCCAGACAUUCUCCAAAGGUCCUGGAAUUACAUGAACGAUGGGCUUCGAACUGACAUCUUCAUGCGCUACAAGCCAGAGACCAUUGCUUGUGCCUGUAUUUUUUUAGCAGCCAGAACUGUCGAGAAUCCAAUCGCAUUACCUUCAACACCGUUCCAUUGGUUUGAAGCCUUCGACACAUCAGAUCGAGACGUGGAGGCAAUUGCUCUUCAACUAGUCGGGCUCUACGCAAGAAGAACAUUUCCUAACUGGCCACGUAUCAAAGCUGAAUUGGACGCAUUAAGAAGUGUGAAAGAUGCUGAAAUGAAGGCUGUGAAAGCAAAAGAAAUUGCUGAAAAUUUGGCAAAAAUGGCACCAGAUGGCGAGAAAAGUACCUCAACUGUCACUAUCGGUAAAGACAGCAGGAAGGUUUCACCAGAUAGAAAAAACGGAACAAAAGAUCGCGGAGAAGCGGAUCGAGGCAAGAAAGAGAAGGAUCGGCACAGAAGGAGAUCGAAUGAUCGAGAUGGUAGAGGUGAUCGGCGUGAUCGAGACAAGGAUCGUGGGGAUAGGCGGAAGGAUGAGAAGAAAGAUCGGAGGAAGAGAACCAGAUCACGCAGCAGGGAUCGUAAGGAUAAAAAUAGGAACCGCGACGUUGGCAAAAGAUACCGGAAGGAAAGCAGCACACCGCCAAGAUCCCGGCGAUAA
This 1494-nucleotide unclassified non-coding RNA is filed under the name Caenorhabditis elegans. Its description in RNAcentral is "Non-coding transcript of protein-coding gene cyl-1". The record is from RNAcentral. Lineage: Eukaryota; Metazoa; Nematoda; Chromadorea; Rhabditida; Rhabditidae.